UGGAGGCCUGCGACCCCGCUAGCGCUCCAGCAAGCGGGAGGAACGCGUCCAGUCUAUUCGCGAGAUCCAGCUGCCGGUCCCUGGAGUCUAUUCGCGCGAGGCAGCGGCUGCACCGACGGCCCGAGGUUCCCGGUCAGCGGGUUGCGGAGUAUCGUGCGGGUAGCAAGGGGAGGGCGAGUGCUCCUGCGGCCCCCAGACGGCAACCAGUUGGCUGGGAUGGAGAUGACAAUAGUACAAUGGCGACCACGUUUUGAAGAUGGCAGACCAUCUACACAGAAGGUGCCUAGGACCCUGAAUCACCACUUAGAAGAGGGCAGCCCAGCUAUUAACUGUUUUGGAAGAUUGCAGGAGAACCUGCAGCCAAUGUAAUUGUGCCUUGGGGACAGGGAAAUACCCAGACCUUUUGAAAUAGACUGGAUACUGGUUCUGAGUUAAUCCCCUGUGACCUAGACAUCACCAUGGUCCACCAGUCAGAGAGGGAUAAAGUCAUACGUGAAGAGUCAGCCUGAGUCCUUCUCAUAUUGGGCCCAGGGGAUCGCAAAUCCCAUCCUGUGGUUUGCUGGUUCCUGGACACAUUAUGGGAAUACACAUGGUAUAGAUGGCAUAAAGGGUAGGAGAGCUACAUAUGAAGAACAAAGUAGUGAGUGGAAAGAUCAGACUGAGGAUCUCUUCUGGAAAUCAACAGGUAAGAAUAAAGAGAUAUAAAAUAUUUUUUAAAAAACUAAAGACAUGGGGGGUAAUAUUAGAAGUGGCCACAUUGUGAUAAUAGGAAUCCCAGACACAGAGAAAGAUAAAAAUGGAAAAACGGAUCUAUUUUGUGAAUGAAUGCCUGGACAGAGGACACCAUGUGACCUGUGCAAGCUGAGCUGCCAUGGCAACAUGUGUUAACGGUCCCAUCAAGCCAUGAGGUUGUCUAUGUGCAGCAGCACUCUGCCACCAAAAAGAGUAAGCUGCCUGAGCAGGUGGCUCAUACUCCCACUGGCUGCACUGCCGCCCAUUUCUCACACCUGAGUCUCAUGGGGCGUUCCCUGUGACCAGGUGACUCAGAGGCACAAUAUUCAAGCUUGGUUCACAGAUGGUUUUGCAUAAUAUGCUGGCACCAGCUGGACAUGUCUAGCUGCAGUGUGAUAGCCCCACUUAGGGUUGAUCCUGGGGACAAUGGGAAGGGAAAUUCUCACUGCCUGGUUGCAUAGAUGGUUAGAGGUGUAGAUACCACUGAUCCGUGAGUAGUUAGUAAUGAUUUGGCUAGGUGGUCAAGGACUUGGAAAGAAUAGGAUUGAAAUAUUGUUCAAGGAGGAGGUCUGGGGAAGAGGCAUAUGGAUGUCCCUUUUGGAAUGGGCACAGAGUGUGAAGAUAGUCACAUCCCACAUAAAUGAGCACCAGAGAGCAUCCACUAUGGAGAAAGAUCUCAAUGAGUUGGACAAGAUGUCCUGUCCUGUGGAUGUCAGCCAACCUCAGUUCCUUACCCAAUGGACUCCUGAACAAAAUGGCCAUGGCAGCAUGCGUGGAGUUUAGGCACGGGCUCUAUAAUACAGACUUUCACCAAGGCCAGUCUGGCUAUAACAACUGCUGAGUGCCCAACCUACCGACAGCAGAGUCACACCAAGCCCCGCUAUUGGAACCAUUUGUCAGUGGCAACUGAUUACAGAGACAGUACAAAAUGAAAAGAAACCAUUGGACCCCCAACAUUUUACUGGCAGGAAGCAGACUGGGGAAACUACUCAGCCGCAAAUAUGGGAUAACUUUCAUGAAAAAGGAAGAAAGGCACAGAGGGUGGGACCAAGAGCCCAGAAAGCAGAGCCAAGAGCCAUGGAGAAUUAUUCCCAGGCCUUGAAACCUAAUCCAGGAACUUCCAUGUGCCCAGCGGGAUUUCACAAUUGCUAUAGACCAGUGACUCCUUUGUGUCUCCCAUUUCCCCCGUUUUUUAAAUGGAAUGGGACUUCCCUGGUGGCGCAGUGGUUAAGAA
This is a long non-coding RNA of Balaenoptera musculus (blue whale), 1966 nucleotides long. RefSeq lists it as uncharacterized. The transcript has 4 exons. The record is from RefSeq and is a predicted model, not a curated record. Lineage: Eukaryota; Metazoa; Chordata; Mammalia; Artiodactyla; Balaenopteridae.